GACGAACGCUGGCGGCGCGCCUAACACAUGCAAGUCGAACGGAGCUGAGAGGAGCUUGCUUUUCUUAGCUUAGUGGCGAACGGGUGAGUAACACGUGAGUAACCUGCCCUGGAGUGGGGGACAACAGUUGGAAACGACUGCUAAUACCGCAUAAGCCCACGGCCCGGCAUCGGGCUGAGGGAAAAGGAUUUAUUCGCUUCAGGAUGGACUCGCGUCCAAUUAGCUAGUUGGUGAGGUAACGGCCCACCAAGGCGACGAUUGGUAGCCGGACUGAGAGGUUGAACGGCCACAUUGGGACUGAGACACGGCCCAGACUCCUACGGGAGGCAGCAGUGGGGGAUAUUGCACAAUGGGGGAAACCCUGAUGCAGCGACGCCGCGUGGAGGAAGAAGGUUUUCGGAUUGUAAACUCCUGUCGUUAGGGACGAUAAUGACGGUACCUAACAAGAAAGCACCGGCUAACUACGUGCCAGCCGCCGCAGUAA
RNAcentral lists this ribosomal RNA (484 nucleotides) under uncultured bacterium. RNAcentral describes it as "partial 16S ribosomal RNA". It matches the Rfam family "Bacterial small subunit ribosomal RNA", at positions 28 to 523 of the family's 1533-position model. The record is from RNAcentral.